Molecule: ribosomal RNA, 403 nt
Filed under: uncultured bacterium
Lineage: Bacteria
Description: partial 16S ribosomal RNA
Rfam family: Bacterial small subunit ribosomal RNA
Source: RNAcentral
AUUGAACGCUGGCGGCAGGCCUAACACAUGCAAGUCGAGCGAGCGGCGGACGGGUUAGUAAGGUAUGUGGCCUGCCCGAUAGAUGGGGUUAACUACUGGAAACUGUGGCUAAUACCGCAUACUAUCGGAUAACCCAUAUGGGAUUAGCUAGUAGGUGGGGUAAAGGCUCACCUAGGCGACGAUCUCUAGCUGGUCUGAGAGGAUGAUCAGCCACACUGGGACUGAGACACGGCCCAGACUCCUACGGAGGCAGCAGUGGGGAAUAUUGCACAAGGGGCGCAAGCCUGAUGCAGCCAUGCCGCGUGUAUGAAGAAGGCCCUAGGGUUGUAAAGUACUUUAAGUCGGGAGGCGUUACCCGCAGAAGAAGCACCGGCUAACUCCGUGCCAGCCGCCGCGGUAAUAC